UGAUAGUGCAGAGCUGUCUUAAAAGUACAUUUGAAGAAAUGACUUGACUUGCUCGUCGCGUAACUCGAAAACUUGGCGCCAUUAAAUUUCUGGAAACUUUGCGAGGGGAUGUAUUUCUUAAUUAAGUGCGAGCAAAAUUAUGUAUUGCAUAAAAAAAAAAAUUAAAAUAGUGGAAGGAAGUAAAAUGUGCAUUGCAAAAUUUAGCAAAGGCAGUACCGAAGCGGAGAUUAUUGAUUCGCGAGAAGAUCGUGAAAUACUGGACCAGCAAUGUCAAUAACUUAAUAAGGACUUACAAGAAGCAGCCACUAAGUUAAAUGAAAGUGAAGCAACAACGAACGAUGAUAUAUCCGGUAAGAACAAUACUAAAGUGCCUUUGAAAUAAAUUUAUGAGCAUUGUCCUUUAAAAGAGGCGCCAUUAGCAGCUUAUAAGUCAUAUACUGACACAACAAAUAAAAGCAACCUGGGACAAUUUGAAGCUUUCGGUAUGUGUGCAAUUAUUAAAACUAAGCCAGGACUAAAUAAAAAAUCAUUUGUAUUACACUUCUGACAGAGUUAUGUUUUGUAAUGUAUUUAUUAUUAUAUGUUAAGUUUUAAAUAUGCAUAAUUGUGAGUACCACAGUUUUAAGGCCAGAGACGGAAAAUAUCAAAAGAUUUAUAGCCUUAUUAGUUGCUGAAAACAAUUUAAUUAUCAUUUGUAUUAUGAGUUAAUCAUAUAUGCAAAAUCAGAUUAAUUUAUUAUAAAAAGCUACACAAAAGACACAAUCGGUCAUUACUUUUCUAGGAAUAGUGUAUUCUCUUGUACGCUAUAUGCCUCCGGACGUACAAACCUUUUUUAGUAUUCAGAAAGUUUUUGAUAAUUUGUAUUUUAACUAAAGCUAACAUUGUAUACUGAUAA
This is a non-coding RNA of Drosophila virilis, 895 nucleotides long. NCBI's taxonomy places the organism in Eukaryota, Metazoa, Arthropoda, Insecta, Diptera, Drosophilidae. The record is from RefSeq and is a predicted model, not a curated record.